AUUGAACGCUGGCGGCAGGCCUAACACAUGCAAGUCGAGCGGAUGAAGGGAGCUUGCUCCUGGAUUCAGCGGCGGACGGGUGAGUAAUGCCUAGGAAUCUGCCUGGUAGUGGGGGAUAACGUCCGGAAACGGGCGCUAAUACCGCAUACGUCCUGAGGGAGAAAGGGGGGGAUCUUCGGACCUCACGCUAUCAGAUGAGCCUAGGUCGGAUUAGCUAGUUGGUGGGGUAAAGGCCUACCAAGGCGACGAUCCGUAACUGGUCUGAGAGGAUGAUCAGUCACACUGGAACUGAGACACGGUCCAGACUCCUACGGGAGGCAGCAGUGGGGAAUAUUGGACAAAGGGCGAAAGCCUGAUCCAGCCAUGCCGCGUGUGUGAAGAAGGUCUUCGGAUUGUAAAGCACUUUAAGUUGGGAGGAAGGGCAGUAAGUUAAUACCUUGCUGUUUCGACGUUACCAACAGAAUAAGCACCGGCUAACUUCGUG
RNAcentral lists this ribosomal RNA (484 nucleotides) under uncultured bacterium. Its description in RNAcentral is "partial 16S ribosomal RNA". It matches the Rfam family "Bacterial small subunit ribosomal RNA", at positions 30 to 507 of the family's 1533-position model. The record is from RNAcentral.